This 376-nucleotide ribosomal RNA is filed under the name uncultured bacterium. Its description in RNAcentral is "bacterial SSU rRNA". It matches the Rfam family "Bacterial small subunit ribosomal RNA", at positions 524 to 898 of the family's 1533-position model. The record is from RNAcentral.
UACGUAGGGGGCGAGCGUUGUCCGGAAUUAUUGGGUGUAAAGGGCGUGUAGGCGGUGGUGUAGGUUAUCGGUAAAAACCCAAAGCUCAACUUUGGGCUUGCCGAUAAAACCCCAUCACUUGAGUGCAGGAGAGGAAAGUGGAAUUCCCGGAGUAGCGGUGAAAUGCGUAGAUACCGGGAGGAACACCAGUGGCGAAGGCGACUUUCUGGCCUGCUACUGACGCUGAGGCGCGAAAGCUGGGGGAGCGAACGGGAUUAGAUACCCCGGUAGUCCCAGCCGUAAACGAUGGUAACUAGGUGUGGGUAGUGGUCAAGCUAUCCGUGCCGGAGCUAACGCAAUAAGUUACCCACCUGGGGAGUACGGUCGCAAGGCUGAA